GAUGAAGAACGUAGCGAAAUGCGAUACUUGGUGUGAAUUGCAGAAUCCCGUGAACCAUCGAGUCUUUGAACGCAAGUUGCGCCUCAAGCCAUUAGGUUGAGGGCACGUCUGCCUGGGCGUCACAUAUCGUUGCCUGAUGCCAGUUUCCUCGUGAUGGGUGACUGUGCAGGGCGAAUGAUGGCUUCCCGUGAGCAUUGUUGCCUCAUGGUUGGUUGAAAAUUGAGUCCUUGGUAGGGAGCGCCGUGAUAGAUGGUGGUUGAGUGACGAACGAGACCCAAUCAUGUGAGACCCCUACCGAAUUUGGCCUUCAUGACCCACAUGCGUCUUUGGAACGCUCAUGACGAGACCUCACGUCAGGCGGGGCUACCCGCUGAGUUUAAGCAUAUCAAUAAGCGGAGGA
Molecule: unclassified non-coding RNA, 400 nt
Filed under: soil metagenome
Description: partial contains 5.8S ribosomal RNA, internal transcribed spacer 2, and large subunit ribosomal RNA
Rfam family: 5.8S ribosomal RNA (bases 1-122)
Source: RNAcentral